This 63-nucleotide ribosomal RNA is filed under the name Ctenophora environmental sample. Its description in RNAcentral is "partial Eukaryotic small subunit ribosomal RNA". It matches the Rfam family "Eukaryotic small subunit ribosomal RNA", at positions 1201 to 1263 of the family's 1831-position model. The record is from RNAcentral. Lineage: Eukaryota; Metazoa; Ctenophora.
CAACACGGGGAAACUUACCAGGUCCAGACAUAGCUAGGAUUGACAGAUUGAGAGCUCUUUCUU